AUUGAACGCUGGCGGCAUGCCUUACACAUGCAAGUCGAACGGUAACGGGCCUUCGGGUGCCGACGAGUGGCGAACGGGUGAGUAAUACAUCGGAACGUGCCCGAUCGUGGGGGAUAACGAGGCGAAAGCUUUGCUAAUACCGCAUACGAUCUACGGAUGAAAGCAGGGGACCGCAAGGCCUUGCGCGGACGGAGCGGCCGAUGGCAGAUUAGGUAGUUGGUGGGAUAAAAGCUUACCAAGCCGACGAUCUGUAGCUGGUCUGAGAGGAUGAUCAGCCACACUGGGACUGAGACACGGCCCAGACUCCUACGGGAGGCAGCAGUGGGGAAUUUUGGACAAUGGGCGCAAGCCUGAUCCAGCCAUGCCGCGUGCAGGAUGAAGGCCUUCGGGCUGUAAAAUGCUUUUGUACGGAACGAAAAGCCUUCUUUUAAUACAGGAGGGUCAUGACGGUACCGUAAGAAUAAGCACCGGCUAACUACGUG
Molecule: ribosomal RNA, 482 nt
Filed under: uncultured bacterium
Lineage: Bacteria
Description: partial 16S ribosomal RNA
Rfam family: Bacterial small subunit ribosomal RNA
Source: RNAcentral